GCAACAACUAUUUAACACUUAACUAUUUAAAAUUGGGUCACACCACAAGUGCUUUGUUAUGCAUCUACUUGCUAUGUGACUGCAGAGUGCUCAUAAAAUAUAUAGGCUGUGGCCUUCAAAUUUGUCCUUCUGUUACUCAUAAGCAAAACUGCUUUGAAUAUGAACUACCUUGAACAUUUUGGGAAAAAACAAAUAUUUCAACUGAAGCAAAAAUUGUGAACCUUUUCUGAACAUUUGUGAUAGGUUCCCCUUCGGCUUGCCAUAGGCUGGAAAUGACUUGAAGGUGGGCAAUAACAAUGGAUAAUCUAAAAUAAAAAUUGGAUCCUUAAAGAGGAGGAGGAGGGCAGAAAUUGAAUAAUUUGAAAAGUUCAUCAUGCCAUUAGCAUGGAAGACAUCAGCUACCACUGAGUAAGAGUGUGCAUUUAGAAUGAUGGUGUCGGCAGUAUGGCUGCAAAGAACACAGAGAUCCCUCCUGUGGAUUUUGUUCUGUGCCUCACAGAUAUCAGCAUACAAUGAGAGGGCAGAAAAUUCAUUUAAACCUUCCAAGGUUCCUAGAUCAGCAAUCUGUAAGAUGGUCUUUAGAGAGUACAUAGUUCCUGGUCAACAUGUAAUAGUUCAACAUUCCCAGUGGAAUAAUGUAGCAAGGAUUCUGAAUCUUUUGCAAGGUAUAUUUUUACAACCAAAAAUAAAAGGCAGCAUAUUUUUGCUCUCUAGGUAUUUUUGUUGUUUACAACCAUUCCCUAUCCUUUCUGCUUAUGCAGUUCUCUUUGCCAUAAACUGAUUUGGUUCUUACUUCCUCUCAAAAGUCUGGGGCAAAAAUGUGCAAUUGCCCAAUCCUUUUAAUAAAAUUGAACAUUUCUUUGAUUCAUGUAAAGUUGUACUCGAUAUUCUUUUUCUGCAACAGCUAUAGACCAG
Long non-coding RNA from Anolis carolinensis (green anole), 915 nucleotides. RefSeq lists it as uncharacterized. The transcript has 3 exons. NCBI's taxonomy places the organism in Eukaryota, Metazoa, Chordata, Lepidosauria, Squamata, Anolidae. The record is from RefSeq and is a predicted model, not a curated record.